ACUCCUACGGGAGGCAGCAGUGGGGAAUUUUGGACAAUGGGCGCAAGCCUGAUCCAGCAAUGCCGCGUGAGUGAAGAAGGCCUUCGGGUUGUAAAGCUCUUUCAGUUGAAAAGAAAAGACACCGGCUAACUCUGUGC
RNAcentral lists this ribosomal RNA (137 nucleotides) under uncultured bacterium. Its description in RNAcentral is "partial 16S ribosomal RNA". It matches the Rfam family "Bacterial small subunit ribosomal RNA", at positions 335 to 508 of the family's 1533-position model. The record is from RNAcentral.